GACGAACGCUGGCGGCGUGCUUAACACAUGCAAGUCGAACGGAAAGGCCCCUUUGGGGGUACUCGAGUGGCGAACGGGUGAGUAACACGUGAGUAACCUGCCCUUGACUUCGGGAUAACUUCAGGAAACUGGGGCUAUACCGGAUAGGAAUCCUUGCUGCAUGGUGGGGGUUGGAAAGCUUCGGCGGUUUUGGAUGGACUCGCGGCUUAUCAGCUUGUUGGUGGGGUAGUGGCUUACCAAGGCUUUGACGGGUAGCCGGCCUGAGAGGGCGACCGGCCACAUUGGGACUGAGAUACGGCCCAGACUCCUACGGGAGGCAGCAGUGGGGAAUAUUGCACAAUGGGCGGAAGCCUGAUGCAGCAACGCCGCGUGCGGGAUGACGGCCUUCGGGUUGUAAACCGCUUUCAGCAGGGGCGAAGCUUGUGGUGACGGUACCUGCAGAAGAAGCACCGGCUAACUACGUG
RNAcentral lists this ribosomal RNA (464 nucleotides) under uncultured bacterium. RNAcentral's name for it is "partial 16S ribosomal RNA". It matches the Rfam family "Bacterial small subunit ribosomal RNA", at positions 28 to 507 of the family's 1533-position model. The record is from RNAcentral.